This 73-nucleotide transfer RNA is filed under the name Mesocricetus auratus (golden hamster). It matches the Rfam family "tRNA". From Rfam's summary of the family: Transfer RNA (tRNA) molecules are approximately 80 nucleotides in length. Their secondary structure includes four short double-helical elements and three loops (D, anti-codon, and T loops). The record is from Rfam by way of RNAcentral. Lineage: Eukaryota; Metazoa; Chordata; Mammalia; Rodentia; Cricetidae.
GCCUGGCUAGCUCAGUCGGUAGAGCAUGAGACUCUUAAUGUCAAGGUCAUGGGUUCGAGCCCCAAAUUGGGUG